GAUGAAGAAGGUAGCGAAAUGCGAUACUUAGUGUGAAUUGCAGAAUCCCGUGAACCAUCGAGUCUUUGAACGCAAGUUGCGCCCGAAGCCAUCAGGUUGAGGGCACGUCUGCCUAGGCGUCACAUAUCGUUGCCCAAUGCCUAUUGCAGUGCAAUAGGAAUUUCUAGGGCGAAUGAUGGCUUCCCGUGAGCGUUGUUGCCUCGCGGUUGGUUGAAAAUCGAGUCCUUGGUAGGGUGUGCCAUGGUAGAUGGUGGUCGAGUUAGAACGAUACCGAUCAUGUGCAUGCUCCCCAAAAUAUGGCCUCUAUGACCCACACGCGUCUUUUGACGCUCAUGACGAGACCUCAGGUCAGGCGGGGCUACCCGCUGAAUUUAAGCAUAUCAAUAAGCGGAGGA
RNAcentral lists this unclassified non-coding RNA (395 nucleotides) under soil metagenome. RNAcentral's name for it is "partial contains 5.8S ribosomal RNA, internal transcribed spacer 2, and large subunit ribosomal RNA". The stretch from base 1 to 122 matches the Rfam family "5.8S ribosomal RNA", at positions 35 to 154 of the family's 154-position model. The record is from RNAcentral.